Molecule: ribosomal RNA, 861 nt
Filed under: Proteus mirabilis
Lineage: Bacteria; Pseudomonadati; Pseudomonadota; Gammaproteobacteria; Enterobacterales; Morganellaceae
Description: partial 23S ribosomal RNA
Rfam family: Bacterial large subunit ribosomal RNA
Source: RNAcentral
ACGGCGGGUGCUAACGUCCGUCGUGAAGAGGGAAACAACCCAGACCGCCAGCUAAGGUCCCAAAGUCAUGGUUAAGUGGGAAACGAAGUGGGAAGGCUCAGACAGCCAGGAUGUUGGCUUAGAAGCAGCCAUCAUUUAAAGAAAGCGUAAUAGCUCACUGGUCGAGUCGGCCCGCGCGGAAGAUGUAACGGGGCUAAACCAUGCACCGAAGCUGCGGCAGCGAACGUAUCACUUAAAUUUGUUUGAGUGAAUAACGAUUGACGGAACGAAGUGACGUCAAUGCGUUAAUGAAAGUCGAGGCGAAAGCACGACAAAGCGAAUUUAAGGAUACGUUCGUUGGGUAGGGGAGCGUUCUGUAAGCCUGCGAAGGUGUACUGUGAGGUAUGCUGGAGGUAUCAGAAGUGCGAAUGCUGACAUAAGUAACGAUAAUGCGGGUGAAAAACCCGCACGCCGGAAGACCAAGGGUUCCUGUCCAACGUUAAUCGGGGCAGGGUGAGUCGACCCCUAAGGCGAGGCUGAAAAGCGUAGUCGAUGGGAAACGGGUUAAUAUUCCCGUACUGGUGGUAACUGCGAUGGGGGAACGGAGAAGGCUAGGUUGUCCGGGCGACGGUCGUCCCGGUUCAAGCAGGUAGGCAGAGUGAUUAGGCAAAUCCGGUCACUUAAUGCUGAGAUGUGAUGACGAACCACCAAGGUGGUGAAGCAAUUGAUGCCCCGCUUCCAGGAAAAGCCUCUAAGCUUCAGGUUACCAACAAUCGUACCCCAAACCGACACAGGUGGUCAGGUAGAGAAUACUCAGGCGCUUGAGAGAACUCGGGUGAAGGAACUAGGCAAAAUGGUGCCGUAACUUCGGGAGAAGGCACG